UGGGGAAUUUUGGACAAUGGGCGAAAGCCUGAUCCAGCAAUGCCGCGUGUGUGAAGAAGGCCUUCGGGUUGUAAAGCACUUUUGUCCGGAAAGAAAUCCUUGGCUCUAAUACAGUCGGGGGAUGACGGUACCGGAAGAAUAAGCACCGGCUAACUACGUGCCAGCAGCCGCGGUAAUACGUAGGGUGCAAGCGUUAAUCGGAAUUACUGGGCGUAAGCGUGCGCAGGCGGUUUGCUAAGACCGAUGUGAAAUCCCCGGGCUCAACCUGGGAACUGCAUUGGUGACUGGCAGGCUAGAGUAUGGCAGAGGGGGGUUAGAAUUCCACGUGUAGCAGUGAAAUGCGUAGAGAUGUGGAGGAAUACCGAUGGCGAAGGCAGCCCCCUGGGCCAAUACUGACGCUCAUGCACGAAAGCGUGGGGAGCAAACAGGAUUAGAUACCCGUGGUAGUCCACGCCCUAAACGAUGUCAACUAGUUGUUGGGGAAUUCAUUUCCUUAGUAACGUAGCUAACGCGUGAAGUUGACCGCCUGGGGAGUACGGUCGCAAGAUUAAAACUCAAGGAAUUGACGGGGUCAUAGCUGUUUCCU
Molecule: ribosomal RNA, 586 nt
Filed under: uncultured bacterium
Lineage: Bacteria
Description: partial 16S ribosomal RNA
Rfam family: Bacterial small subunit ribosomal RNA
Source: RNAcentral